GUUCCCAUCUCAUAGGCAGCUUCUUUCCCUAAGAUUUAUAACAGCAAUAUUUAGGUUGGUUGGAAUGAAGUAUGAACGGAUGUCUCGGCUCCAGCCCCUUCCUUCCUGUUUAUAUUUAAUUUAUUUAUCCUCAUUUAGAUGAGGUAAAAGGCAGUGUUACCUCUUGGCCUGGUGGAACACCCAUUGCAGUGAAAUCUUUGCUGUAAUGGUUCACAUUCUUCAUUUCUGGCAUUUCCUGCUCAGUCAAUGAUAGUUAAUUAGGAAGCAGUGUGGGUGCAGGUUUGCAGGAACACUUGGCCCCUGUGCAUGCCUGGUUUGGCCUGGGAAUGUGCACUGGGAAAACCCCAGCCCACCUGCAUUCCCUGAGGUGCUGCAGCCUGGGACCUGGCCAAGGAGCAGUCCAGGGAGAAAAGAGGGAAAUGGGAUGAAAGGGAUGAUACUGUUCUCAAAACUGUCCCUGAGAGAGGGGAGUGAGGGACCCUCCUGCUGCCAAUGGGGAUGUUGAGGUUUUUGGCCACAGAGGGAGGGAGAACUGUGGGUCCAGAGGAAGGAGCUUGUGCACUAAAUUAUUUCAGGUUCUCUUCCAGGUCUGCACAGAGAUUUCCCUCCAUGAAGUAAUGGGAUGGAAGUGGGAAAAGGAGACUUUUUGUAGAGAUGAGCAUGAGCUUCAUCCUGGAGAGUCUGCAGUGUCCAGAAAACCAGUUUGAAAAACACCCAGCGUCUGAUUGGAAGCCACAAGAGGCGGGAAGGGAGCCCAGAUGCUGUGCCAAAACCUGAAGGCAUCACCAGAGCAAUCCAAGAAAGGUGCUGUGGAGGUCAGGGGCUGAGAAGUGCUGCCACAGAAGUGCCAUCGCAGACGUGGCAUCAGAUGCCACAGGUAGGGGCCAGAGUCCCACAGAUAUUCCAGGUACAGUCAUGUUUUUAGCCUAGAAGCUAAAAUUUUAAUUCUCCCACUAAUUCAUUCUGUCUUUCAAACACAGAGUUCUGUAGUGCUUGGAGAGAAGUGGAUUUAUGAACAGAAAAAGACAUGGCACAGAAUAAAUCUAGAUACGGGAAGUUGCUUUAAAUGUCAUGUAUUCCCACAGCUAUAUUAUGGAAAAUAUUUUAUAGUCACCGUUUCUGUGUGUUUAUAGAUUGUAAAAAUGUCUCUUUAGGACUGAGUUGUGCUACUGGCACGUUGGGAUGGAGCCAGUACCACACUGUGUGGGUUUGCUGUGGUGCUUGGAGUGCCCUGGCAGAUGCUGAGGGUGGCAACUCUGCAGCACACACGCUCACACACGUGCACAUACACAGAGAAUCUCUAAACACUCGGCUCUAAACUCUUUAGUAUUUAAAAAAGCCCUGCAAAAGCAGCUGCAAGAAGGGGAAACGACUCCUGGAAAUGGAUCCCAGAUGCCUGCAGAGGGCAAAAACCUCUGGAAGUUGGAUUGCUAAAAGAUGGAUCCCUGGAGAUAAAGAGUGUGGCUGUUGGUGAGAGCACCCCCAGCCACUGCACCAGCUCUGCUUCGUACACAGACUUCAGCCCAGGCUCUCAGACGCCCCAUUUGACACAGACUGGGAUUUUGGGAAGUGCUUUCUGGAGUGACAACACAGUUCAGCCCCCACCUAUUGCCAUGAGGUUGGAGAUGCAGCCUCAGGAGCUCUAUGGCUCCUGGUGGUUUCCAGAGCAGGUGGUGCCAAAUACAGACUCAGCAUCUUUAUUUAACACCAUUGUCAGGGGAAAUUAUUUCUUAAGAGUGUCUGAGAAAUAGUU
Molecule: long non-coding RNA, 1753 nt
Organism: Vidua chalybeata
Lineage: Eukaryota; Metazoa; Chordata; Aves; Passeriformes; Viduidae
Exons: 3
Source: RefSeq, a predicted model, not a curated record